CCUACGGGCGGCAGCAGUGAGGAAUAUUGGUCAAUGGGCGGGAGCCUGAACCAGCCAAGUCGCGUGAAGGAAGAAGGUACUUAGUAUUGUAAACUUCUUUUGUCGGGGAACAAAGGCGGAGACGCGUCUCCGGAUGAGUGUACCCGAAGAAAAAGCAUCGGCUAACUCCGUGCCAGCAGCCGCGGUAAUACGGAGGAUGCGAGCGGCAUCCGGAUUUAUUGGGUUGAAAGGGUGCGUAGGCGGGAGAUCAAGGCAGCGGUAAAAUGUCGGGGCUCAACCCCGGCCGGCCGUUGAAACUGGUUUUCUAGAGUUGGAGAGAAGUAUGCGGAAUUCGGGGUGUAGCGGGGAAAUGCAGAGAUUACACGAAGAACUCAGAUUGCGAAGGCAGCAUACCGGCUCCAUACUGACGCUGAGGCACGAAAGCGUGGGGAUCGAACAGGAUUAGAUACCAGAGUAGUU
This 459-nucleotide ribosomal RNA is filed under the name uncultured bacterium. Its description in RNAcentral is "partial 16S ribosomal RNA". It matches the Rfam family "Bacterial small subunit ribosomal RNA", at positions 338 to 795 of the family's 1533-position model. The record is from RNAcentral.